This 844-nucleotide ribosomal RNA is filed under the name Spiruridae sp. AP-2012. RNAcentral describes it as "SSU rRNA". It matches the Rfam family "Eukaryotic small subunit ribosomal RNA", at positions 106 to 955 of the family's 1831-position model. The record is from RNAcentral. Lineage: Eukaryota; Metazoa; Nematoda; Chromadorea; Rhabditida; Spiruridae.
ACAGCUAUAAUGUACUUGAUGUUGAUUAUCCAACGUGGAUAACUGUGGUAAUUCUAGAGCUAAUACAUGCACCAAAGCUCCGACUUAUGGACGAGCGCAUCUAUUAGAUUAAAACCAAUCGGGCUUCGGCCCGUCAAUUGGUGACUCUGAAUAGCUAUUGCUGAUCGCAUGGUCUCGUACCGGCGACGUAUCUAUCAAGUGUCUGCCUUAUCAACUUUCGAUGGUAGUUUAUGUGCCUACCAUGGUUGUAACGGGUAACGGAGAAUAAGGGUUCGACUCCGGAGAGGGAGCCUGAGAAACGGCUACCACAUCCAAGGAAGGCAGCAGGCGCGCAAAUUACCCACUCUCGGCAUGAGGAGGUAGUGACGAAAAAUAACGAGACCGUUCUCUUUGAGGCCGGUUAUCGGAAUGGGUACAAUUUAAACCCGUUAACGAGGAUCUAUGAGAGGGCAAGUCUGGUGCCAGCAGCCGCGGUAAUUCCAGCUCUCAAAGUGUAUAUCGUCAUUGCUGCGGUUAAAAAGCUCGUAGUUGGAUCUGCGCCUCAGGACCCGGUCCGCCCAUUGGACGAGAACUGGGCUCCUAGGCUUGAUAAGCCGGUUUUCCCUACGUUGCCUUCAUCGGUCGCGUAGGGUGGCCAGCAAGUUUACCUUGAAAAAAUUAGAGUGCUCAAUGCGGGCUAAUGCCUGAAUACUCGUGCAUGGAAUAAUGAAAUAGGAUCUCGGUUCUAUUUUGUUGGUUUUCUCAACUGAGAUAAUGGUUAAGAGGGACGGACGGGGGCAUUCGUAUCGCUGCGUGAGAGGUGAAAUUCUUGGACCGUAGCGAGACGCCCGACUGCGAAAGCAUU